Molecule: long non-coding RNA, 7271 nt
Filed under: Theobroma cacao (cacao)
Lineage: Eukaryota; Viridiplantae; Streptophyta; Magnoliopsida; Malvales; Malvaceae
Description: long non-coding RNA (TCAC_LNC000308)
Source: RNAcentral
ACAUUGAAAUCUAACCAAAUCAAGCAUCAAAACCUCCCUCUAAGUGUUCGGCUAGCAAGGGAUUCAUCAUGAUUUCAUGUGAUUCAACCAUGGAAAAUAAGAAAAAAUGCUUAAGAAAGAGAGAUCUCAAGCUUAAUUGAAAAAAUCUUACCUUUUUUCACUUGUUUCCUUGAAUUUUCACACUUUUCCCUUGAAGUUUUCCACCUAGGGUUUUGUUCUUCCUUUUUCUUGCUUCUCCUUGGUGAGGCCGACCAUAAUGAAGAGAAAUGGGCUGGUUUUGUGCUAAUUUAUAAGAAAAAUAAUAAAGAAAUAAAAGCUUAACACUUGUUACCUUACCAUUGGUCUAUUUUUAAAUUCUUAACUAUUAAGCUUUCUUUCUCCACCACAUAAAAUCUUUCAGUUAUCCAUGAUAAUAAUGUGUGAAAUUCAUGUGUUGGACAAGUGUUGGGUGGUGUAAAAUUUUGAUUUUGCCCUUAGGAGGCAAAAUGACUAUUUUACCCCUAUGCUCAAAAAAAUAUCGAAAUUAAAAUUUUUCACUUCUCAAACUCAAAUUAUGUUCUAAAUAGUCAAUCUUGAUCAAAAACUUCUUCCAACAUUCCUAUUUUAACCUUGGGUGGCAAAAUGACCAUUUUACCCCUAGGUAAUGAAAAUUCCAAUUUGACUCCAAAUCGGUCCUCGAACUCUGAAUCACCAUUUUAAGUCAUUCUAGGGCUUUAAAAUUCUCAAUUUCAUCUUAAAAUCUCUAUUUGGACUAGUUCAAGGCUUAAUUCAACUUAAUUGUACCAUUUGGUACAUUACCGUCCUUUAACGAUUUUUGAGGUACCCAAGUAAGCAAACAUGCAUUCUUAUGUAAGAAUGGCAUAAUAAACAUAUUGUAGAGCUGGGCUUGAUAGCACCACCCCCCUUAAAAAAAAAUUUUGACCUCAAAAUUUCAUUUACUGAACUCAGAGAAAAGGUGUGGGUAUUGUUUUCUCCUCUAAUGCUCGACUUUUUAUGUUCUCCCCUUUAUAGGGAAUUUCGAUUUGUUCACCUCAUUUACCUCCAAUUCAACUCGAGUACUUCACUUAUGUCUAUUAUUAUCCUUUAAAAUUAGAUCAACAGUAACCUUCACAAUUAUGAUCUCUUAUAUCGAGACACCAAGCAUACUUCUAUUACUAUCAUUAAACUUGAACCAUAACUCCAUCUCAAUCAUACCAAUUUCGAUCGCAUUUUAUACUUAUUUAGGUAUACCAAUCACUAUCUUAUUACUUCAUUCCAUAUCAAACUUCUCGACUUUCAUUCAUUCAUCCUAUCCUCAUACACUAUUGUGUAGUUUACGGCAUCAUAAACAUGCCAUACUCAUUCCUGUACAUAUCCUCAGCGUUAGGGAAGAUUAAUGGCUUCAAUUAUUUCCACAUACUUCAUGUUUACCUUGCAUUUAGGAAGUUUCAAUCUUCUUAAUCCUAUUAAUCCAUCUCAUAUGGCUUAAUCGCACUAUAGAUUACAUUUCCUUAACUAUUUUCCCAAAAUUCCUUAGGUCGCCAUAAAUCGACUUCUGAUAAGAUUUUUGAUCGUUACAUUAUCUAUACAACUCAUCAAAUAUAUUGAGCUCAAAUCUCGAACCACUAAAACCAUUCUUCAUUUUAGUUGGGUACAUCACUAACUUCACACAUACGUAUACACGCACAUUCAAAUGUCCAUAUUCCUCAUUAUGUAUACGGGUCUCUGUUUUCAAAUGCCUUCAGACUAAUUUCUCUUUGUUCAUUCCCAUCCAUAACCAAGAUUCAAUAGAAUAAUCUUCAUAAUUCAUACAAAUUCUCAUCAUGCUUGUGCAUAGUUCCAUAUCAUUUACAUACUUAUACUCCCUUCUUAUCAUUUCCAAUUAUAUGCUUAAGUUUCCUUGUACUAUAUAUCAUUGCAUCACAAUGUCAUCUCCAUUGAAUUAUAAUCUAUUAUGCAUGUAUGCUUUAUAAUCCCAUUGAUGCCUCAAAGAUUUAUCUUAACUUGAUCAUUGCAUCUUAUGCAAUACCAUAAUUCCUAAGAGUCAUCCUUUUUCCCUAAUUAUCCUUCAUGCCUCUACAUUACCUUGUAUCCUUCUUGCAUUCCGAUAUUGAUUUGUCACUUAAAACUCAGACUCUUUUGAAUCAUGUAUGCCUCAAGCAUUUCGAAUUCUAAUUUCCAUAAUAUAUUAGGAAAGUUUCAUUAUCCGACUUCAUUAUGAAGGUCAACUUCUAUCAUCCUUUGUUCCACUCUUUCAUACGAAUAUAACAUCAUUCUCUCUUAGCCAAUUUACAGAUUGUAAUUGAAAUUGCAAGACUUGAAACUAGAUUCUCCUCAAGUACUUUUCAAUGUCAAUACAAGUAUCACUAUCAGCUUACGACUUCAUUUUAUGAUCACAUAACUUAGUGAUUGCUUUCACGAGAUCCAUGGCAGAACUUCUCUUGAGUAUUUCCUUAAGGAUAUCUAUCUUAAACUUAUGUCUCACAUCAAGUGAUCACUUAACUCGUGACUUAAGCGUUUGGCUCCUUAGCAAGUUUCAAAGUCACGCAUCUUAUGGUCAUCACGUAUAACUUAUAAUUCUUUCUCAAAGGCGUUUAAACAUUCUUGAAACACUUAAUCACUUAUUUGCUCUUUCAUACUCCAAGUAUAUCAUUUCCAUAAAGGCACGCCCAGCUACUCAUGCUUCAAUUUAUCUCCAAGGGUUUCUAGCAUGCCACGUAGUUUACUUGUGUUAUCACUAAUCCUUUCCUUUCAACAAAGUCAAGACAAGAUUUGUAAAUUCUCGUAACAAUAUUCUAUAUAAACUCAUUUGCUAUAUCAUUCUUGAAAUCUUCAUUCACACUCUCAUCACUUGGUAUUGACAACUCUUAUCAAUAUCUCAUACAUUCAUCUAACUUUUCACUCGCUUUCUCUUUAGUCUUUAACAAGGCUUAAUCUCUUGUCUUCUUUAUUUCUUAAGAUUUGACUUUAGUCAACAUAUUAUUCAUCUUAACACUCCACAUGUUAAUUUAUUUUUAUGUAGCCAUCACAAAAACUCUCUAACGUUUCUCUCUUACAUGUCAAUAUGAAAGACAAUAAAGAAACUUUGCAAUUUCAGUCAUCAUCUUUAUCUUAAUACCUCCCCAAUGCACUUAAGACUCUAAACAACAAAGCUUAGCAUCAAAACCAAUAACCAUAUUUCAACUCGCGAGUCUGAUCUUUAUGUCGCUAAUAAUUUGCUCAUGCUUUCUAACCAUAAGGGGUUCUUAACGCGACAGCGUUUGAUAGUCAGUACUGUGGCAUUGCAACUAUUUGAAUUCACUUUAUCCUAGCAACUCUUCUACCUUUAAAGCUACUACCUCAAUUAUUCACAAUCGUGUGGCUUCCCUCUGAGUCUAUACCACAAUUAGCAAGACUAACUUUCUAUCACAAGUGCACGAUCAGAACUUUGAUUUAACGUAUUUAUUUUGCCACUAACAUUCAGAUAUCUUUACCAUAACAUUUAGUACGAGUUUGCUUAAGCAAAAAUCUCCAAAUUUAUUUAUAGCGACAUGUAUCUCAUAUUGCACACCACUUAUCAUCAGUAAAUAAAUCCCACUUGAGAAUACUCUUUCUAUAUUGUAUAGUGACUUCACCAUAUAUGUAUGACACCACACACAUAAUUAUUCAUUGUUUUCUAAUGUUCCACAAUUCUUUAGUAUUCACAACUACUGGUCUUCUUUGUCUUACAUCUCAUAUAGUCCAAUCACUUCAACUUAAAAUCGUCAUGAAAUUAAUCCACCUGAAUCAACAUUUUAUGCUUAUCUUAUUAUUAGUUCAAAAGUUUCAUGAUCAUGGAAACUACAAUUUACAAAACUAGCUUUCUAUCAUAUGUACUUUAUUAGAACACUAAUUUCAACAUAUUUAAUCUACCUUUGGUGGUAUGUCAAAACCAUCCCUGUCUCGAUUGUAAUCCAGAGGAAUCUCUCCUCUGCAUAUCCGUACGAGCUGGUGGAGAUGGAGCAGCUACCGUAGCCCGUCCUAACUGUGGGAAUCUCUCGUAAUGUGACCCGACUGACCACAAUAAAAACAUCAUAUAGGCCCUCUACACGACUCGACAUGAUAUCUUCCACAAUUUCUGCAUUUAUCAGAACCUCCAUAACUCUUCCCAAAAAUAGUCAUCGUAAAUCUGUUAAAUCUCGGAGGCCUUUGCUAUGUCUGUGAAAAUGGGGGUCGGGAAGAUGUUACUGAAACAGUAGUAGUACUUCCUGAAACAAAUGAGUCUUUGCCCCUUUUUGGUGGCUAACCAAAAGAUACACUGAAAUUUCUCCUUUUUGCUAACUCAGCUCGCAUUCUCCUAUUUUCAUUCGCAAGCUUCUCAGCUCUUAAAGCCAUUUGCACCACCUCUUCAGCUACGGUUGCGUCCGACUCACCCAUAAAAGAAAUGCAACCAUUUUGCCUAGCCUCUUUAAGCUUCUUAGAAUUAGAACAUCAAGCACUAGUGGUGGGACAAGAGAUGGGGGUGGUGGCACUAAAGGAGCAACUGGAGGAACUGUAGGAAGAGCUUGACCAACCUGAGCCUAGCCAGCAAUAGCAAUAAAGAAGGCUGCCAAUGCCUGAACAGCCUCAAGAGGCAUAGAAGGAAUACUAGUAAAUGGCGAAGGAGGUGGAGGAGUCUCGGUCUGCUCAAUAGCAGGUGCUGCCCAAAUAGUAGACACAGCCGAUUCCCCCUCUAUAGGAUCUAGCUGACGAUGUUGAGAACGCCCUCUUCCCCUCCCAGCCGAUCUAGUAAGAGGUGGGUGUUCACGUCGAGGAGGCAUGAUAAUCUAUAAGAAGGAAUAAAGCAUGUUUAAACAACCUGAAGCUCUACAUGCAAAUACAUGCAUUCUAUUCAGUCUAACCUAACUUAACUCAAUGCCACACUAAUACUGUAAAUUUUAAAAUAACUUUAAAACAACUUUAAACCCAAAAGCUCUGAUCUUUAAAAUCAAAAGCUCUAAUACCAAUGUCAUUGUCAUGACCCGAAACUCUUAUCGAGCCCGUGACAACAGUCGCGAUGUCCUGAUAGACAUUCAUUACCAGAAAUGCCAAUCGAAACCUCGUAAGACUUAACAUCAGUUUUCUCGCUUCCUUUGUGAGUAUUAGUUACUAAAAUCAUGUUUUAAAGUGAUAUGAACCAAUUUCAAUUUAAGAACAGUCAAAGAGAAAUUUCAACUAUAUAGGGGUAUUUUGGUCAUUUUUCUCAAAAAUUUCGAAACCAGCUAAAAAUGUAGUAUGCGAGUGGAAAACACAUAUUUCAUAAUCAAAAAUAAGUUUAGAUGUAUAAAACAUUCAUUUAAAGUGAAACUGUACCUAUUUGAAUAUAAUAAAAAUAUUCAAUAAAAUAUUUUAUUUUCUUAUAAAACAAUAUUUAUAGAGUUACCGGUAAAUAAUUUUUACAGCGUAAAAGCUAAAUAAAUUUAUACAUAUUGUAAUACAGACAACUAAAGCAUAAGAUUUAAUUUACAGUGACAUGUGGGCCCACGAAUGGCCAAAAAUAUCAAAAACGGUAAAUCUAUAGUUUUUGAGGAUGCAAGUCCAACUGUAGCCCUCAACGAAAUGAGCUAUCUACCGAUUAUCCUAAGCCUGAAAUGGGUGGAAAGGAGGGUGGUGAGAUUAUAUAAUCCCAAUCAGUAAACAAAUAUCAUCUAAAAUAUCUAAAGCUGAGUAAAUGGAGACAAAUAAAAUAGUUUAACAUAAAAAUGAUUCACAGCAUUUCGAACUCAUUUUAAUAAGAUAAAAUAGAUUCAUUUCACCCAAAUAAACAACGAGGCUUAUGAUUUCCUGAAAAGUUUAGCUCGUGCCAAAAUCAUUCUCAUACUCAGUUAACAAGGAUAUCUUGGCCUAGGGCUAUCCCAACCGAGUUCGCCAAGGCUGUUAAAAAGUCAUGUACGCAUAAAUCAUGUUUUUAUUUUGAAAACAUAGUCGUUCCUUGGCAUUGGCUGAGUUCACCCUCACGUGGUAAUUUGGCGUGAAGUGAACUCUAAAGUUGUACCUCGAGAAUUACCCUACGCGCCUCCCCAAUCGAGGUAAGAAUAUAAUAGGAUUCCGUGCCCCUCAAAAGGGCUGGCCCACAGAACCUGCCCACUGUAGCAAGCUAAACCCACCAUACAAUAAAAUUUGCAAUAGCAUGAUAUGGCAAUUAUUUUAUUUUACAGCCUCUCAAGGCAAAUCAAUAGUCCAUACAUUUUUAGCAUAUUUACCAAUUCAACCAUUCAUGCCAAUAUUAUCAUAAGCCAUUCAAUUCAAACCAUGAUUUUAAAACAGCAAUUAGUCUCCAAUAACUCCAUUUUCAAAACCAUCUUUCAAUUUCAAGAUAAUUUUAUAAAAUCAUUUCAUUUAAUCACAUUUUGCUUAUAAAACAUAAAGAUUUACCAUUUAAACUCAUUUUUCUAUCAAUUCACGAAAACGAAUAAACACUACUUUAGAUAAUUAAGACGAUAAUAAGGUUACUCACUAUUUCGAGAGUCUAAUUUCAAGUACUCUGAUUCUUGAUCCUCGGGUACUAUCUCUUUACUUUUGCCAGAAAGCUCACCACCUAGAUAUAAUGCACAAUAAACCAUUUACUACAUUUGUGCUAAAUCGUUGUAAAUCCAAUUCAAGCUUUAUACUAAUGCAUGAAAUGGGAUGUGAAAUACUUGGUUAACUAUCUAAAUACGGUGUUCAAUAUAAAUUCAAUUAUGUACCUAAAUAAAAUGGUAUUGGCCUAAUUCGAUCUAUCACUCGAUUAAUUGGCCAAUAUGUCCAAUUUAAUUCCAAUUAACUCCAUUUUUCUUCCAAUUCUCCAAACCAUCAAACACAAGUCAAAUAGCAUAAAAUUUAGCAAAAUCAUCUUCACAUUUUCUCUUGGGAAUUUCGGCCAUGGUGGGUGCAUCAAUACUAUGAUUUUUCCUACUUGAUUUUCUCACCGUAAUUCAUCAUUUCCUAACCAAUUCACUUGAAAGAAAAUCAAAAUUAUCAUCAAUAUUCCACAUGGAGAAUUCGGCCAAUGAGGGUUAUGGAAGAACAUAAAUUUUUCUUGCUUGAUUUUCAUACUACACAUCACCAAUCAACUAAAAACACUAGAAUACAUUGAAAUCUAACCAAAUCAAGUAUCAAAACCUCCCUCUAAGUGUUCGGCCAGCAAGGGAUUCAUCAUGAUUUCAUGUGAUUCAACCAUGAAAAAUAAGAAAAAAUGCUUAAGAAAGAGAGAUCUCAAGCUUAAUUGAAAAAAUCUUACCUUUUUUCACUUGUUUCCUUGAAUUUUCACACUUUUCCCUUGAAUAUUUCCACCUAGGGUUUUGUUCUUCCUUUUU